Molecule: ribosomal RNA, 812 nt
Filed under: uncultured Streptococcus sp.
Lineage: Bacteria; Bacillati; Bacillota; Bacilli; Lactobacillales; Streptococcaceae
Description: bacterial SSU rRNA
Rfam family: Bacterial small subunit ribosomal RNA
Source: RNAcentral
CGCUGAAGAGAGGAGCUUGCUCUUCUUGGAUGAGUUGCGAACGGGUGAGUAACGCGUAGGUAACCUGCCUUGUAGCGGGGGAUAACUAUUGGAAACGAUAGCUAAUACCGCAUAACAAUGGGUGACACAUGUCAUUUAUUUGAAAGGGGCAAUUGCUCCACUACAAAAUGGACCUGCGUUGUAUUAGCUAGUAGGUGAGGUAACGGCUCACCUAGGCGACGAUACAUAGCCGACCUGAGAGGGUGAUCGGCCACACUGGGACUGAGACACGGCCCAGACUCCUACGGGAGGCAGCAGUAGGGAAUCUUCGGCAAUGGGGGCAACCCUGACCGAGCAACGCCGCGUGAGUGAAGAAGGUUUUCGGAUCGUAAAGCUCUGUUGUAAGUCAAGAACGAGUGUGAGAGUGGAAAGUUCACACUGUGACGGUAGCUUACCAGAAAGGGACGGCUAACUACGUGCCAGCAGCCGCGGUAAUACGUAGGUCCCGAGCGUUGUCCGGAUUUAUUGGGCGUAAAGCGAGCGCAGGCGGUUUGAUAAGUCUGAAGUUAAAGGCUGUGGCUCAACCAUAGUUCGCUUUGCAAACUGUCAAACUUGAGUGCAGAAGGGGAGAGUGGAAUUCCAUGUGUAGCGGUGAAAUGCGUAGAUAUAUGGAGGAACACCGGUGGCGAAAGCGGCUCUCUGGUCUGUAACUGACGCUGAGGCUCGAAAGCGUGGGGAGCGAACAGGAUUAGAUACCCUGGUAGUCCACGCCGUAAACGAUGAGUGCUAGGUGUUGGAUCCUUUCCGGGAUUCAGUGCCGCAGCUAACGCAUU